UUCCUACGGGACGCAGCAGUGAGGAAUAUUGGUCAAUGGGCGCGAGCCUGAACCAGCCAAGUCGCGUGAGGGAUGACGGUCCUACGGAUUGUAAACCUCUUUUGCCGGGGAGCAAGCGUGCGUUCGUGAACGCGCGUCGAGAGUACCCGGAGAAAAAGCAUCGGCUAACUCCGUGCCAGCAGCCGCGGUAAUACGGAGGAUGCGAGCGUUAUCCGGAUUUAUUGGGUUUAAAGGGUGCGUAGGCGGAUUUUUAAGUCAGCGGUAAAAUGUCCGGGCUCAACCCGGGCCGGCCGUUGAAACUGGGG
Molecule: ribosomal RNA, 305 nt
Filed under: uncultured bacterium
Lineage: Bacteria
Description: bacterial SSU rRNA
Rfam family: Bacterial small subunit ribosomal RNA
Source: RNAcentral